This 535-nucleotide ribosomal RNA is filed under the name uncultured bacterium. RNAcentral describes it as "bacterial SSU rRNA". It matches the Rfam family "Bacterial small subunit ribosomal RNA", at positions 777 to 1319 of the family's 1533-position model. The record is from RNAcentral.
AAUAGAUACCCGGGUAGUCCACGCCGUAAACGAUGCUUACUCGUUUUUGGGGCAUUACGCUUCAGAGACCAAGCGAAAGUGAUAAGUAAGCCACCUGGGGAGUACGUUCGCAAGAAUGAAACUCAAAGGAAUUGACGGGGGCCCGCACAAGCGGUGGAUUAUGUGGUUUAAUUCGAUGAUACGCGAGGAACCUUACCAAGACUUAAAUGGGAAUUGACAGACGCAGAAAUGUGUUUUUCUUCGGACAAUUUUCAAGGUGCUGCAUGGUUGUCGUCAGCUCGUGCCGUGAGGUGUUAGGUUAAGUCCUGCAACGAGCGCAACCCCUGUCACUAGUUGCUACCAUUAAGUUGAGGACUCUAGUGAGACUGCCUACGCAAGUAGAGAGGAAGGUGGGGAUGACGUCAAAUCAUCACGGCCCUUACGUCUUGGGCCACACACGUAAUACAAUGGCCGGUACAGAGGGCAGCUACACUGCGAAGUGAUGCGAAUCUCGAAAGCCGGUCUCAGUUCGGAUUGGAGUCUGCAACUCGACUCU